GACGAACGCUGGCGGCGUGCUUAACACAUGCAAGUCGAACGAUGAAGCUGGAGCUUGCUCCGGUGGAUUAGUGGCGAACGGGUGAGUAACACGUGAGCAAUCUGCCCUUGACUCUGGGAUAACUGCGGGAAACUGUAGCUAAUACCGGAUACGAGGCUCGAAGGCAUCUUCGGGUCUGGAAAGAAUUUCGGUCAAGGAUGAGCUCGCGGCCUAUCAGCUUGCUGGUGAGGUAAUGGCUCACCAAGGCGACGACGGGUAGCCGGCCUGAGAGGGGAACCGGCCACACUGGAACUGAGACACGGCCCAGACUCCUACGGGAGGCAGCAGUGGGGAAUAUUGCACAAUGGGCGAAAGCCUGAUGCAGCAACGCCGCGUGAGGGAUGAAGGCCUUCGGGUUGUAAACCUCUUUCAGCAGGGAAGAAGCGAAAGUGACGGUACCUGCAGAAAAAGCACCGGCUAACUACGUGCCAGCAGCCGCCGUAA
RNAcentral lists this ribosomal RNA (483 nucleotides) under uncultured bacterium. RNAcentral's name for it is "partial 16S ribosomal RNA". It matches the Rfam family "Bacterial small subunit ribosomal RNA", at positions 28 to 523 of the family's 1533-position model. The record is from RNAcentral.